This 1323-nucleotide ribosomal RNA is filed under the name Salganea raggei. RNAcentral describes it as "16S ribosomal RNA". The stretch from base 1080 to 1238 matches the Rfam family "Archaeal large subunit ribosomal RNA", at positions 2542 to 2701 of the family's 2987-position model. Lineage: Eukaryota; Metazoa; Arthropoda; Insecta; Blattodea; Blaberidae. The record is from RNAcentral.
UUUAUUUAAAAUUUACUGUAAUUGAGUUGAAUAAUAAAUUUAUAAUUAUGAAAAUCAUUUUAAGUGUUUUUGUAUUUGUUAAUGAUAAAAUUGUUUUAGUGAUAAUUUAUUUGUACUGUAAAGGGAUAGCAUGGAUGAAAUAAUUAUUUAUUAUUAUUGUUUAAGUUUAUUUAAUUUGUUGUACCUUGUGUAUCAGGGUUAAUUAACUAUUUAUUAUGAAUUUUAAUUUUCUCGAUAUUAUUAGAGUUAAUUUAUUAUUUUAUUUACUGUUUUAUAAGUAUUAAUAAUAAUAGAUUGGUAGUGAAAUAUUAUUCGUUAAUAAUGAUAUCUAGUUUUAAGGGAAAUAAAUUUAAUUUACAUCUUUUCUUUAAUUUAUUUUGUUAUUAAGAAAUUUUAAGUUAAUAUGGAUAUUAAGGGGGAUAAGCUCUUUAAUAAAUAUACUAUAAGAUGAUAUUAGGAAUAUAAUUAUGUGGAUUUAGUAAUGAUUAACAUUAUAAAUAUAUUAAAAUUUUAUUAUUGUUUUUGAUUAAUUUAUUUAUAUGAAUUUAGGGUUUUACUAGAACUUUUUAAUUAAUUUUGUAUUAAUUUUGGUUAUGAUUAAAUUAGUAUAAUUAUGUAUAUUUAAAAAUUAUUUUUUUUUGUAGUGGAUUUUAGGAAUUAGGCAAAAAAAAAAUUAUUCGCCUGUUUAACAAAAACAUCUUUUCUUGAUUAAGUAUGAAGUAUAACCUGCUCAAUGAAAAUUUAAAUAGCCGCGGUAUUAUGACUGUGCAAAGGUAGCAAAAUCAUUAGUCUUUUAAUUGUAGGCUGGAAUGAAUGGUUGGACGAAAUAAUUUCUGUCUUGAAUUUUAUUAAUUUGAAUUUAAUAGUUGUGUUAAAAAGCUCAAAUUAUUUUUUGGGACGAGAAGACCCUAUAGAGUUUAAUAAUUUUUUGAUUUAAUUUUUAUUGAUGAAUUAUGUAAAUUAUUUAAUUUAUUUUGUUGGGGUGAUGGGAAGAUAAGUAUAACUCUUUUUGUUUUUGUUUAUAAAUUAUUAUAUUUGUGAUCCAUUUAUUAAUGAUUAAAAGACUAAAUUACCUUAGGGAUAACAGCGUAAUCUUUUUAGAGAGUUCUUAUUGACAAUAAGGGUUGCGACCUCGAUGUUGGAUUAAGAUUAUUUUUAGGUGCAAAAGCUUAAAGGUUGGGUCUGUUCGACCCUUGAAUUCUUACAUGAUCUGAGUUCAGACCGGCGUGAGCCAGGUUGGUUUCUAUCUAAUAAUAAGUUUAAUGUUUUAGUACGAAAGGACCAGACAUAUAAAAAUAAUUUUUAUUAGUUGAUUAAUAUUAG